UCCGCUCAGCUCCAGCUUCACGGUCAAAACUGGGAACAAUAUCCGAUCCGAAAAGCAGCUAAAGUCCUCAUCUUCUUGCCUUUGCGCAGGAACAACUAAACUCCCUAGCAACCUACCUAUCUUCGUCGCCGGCAACCCUACAAAGUUGUGAGCGAUACGCUGCAUGCCGUCUUGAUUUUGAUGACUGUAGUCGUUGGCGUGUCGCUCCCUUUUUAUAACGGAAGCGUCAAAGGGGAAGUGGAGUAACUCAGAGCAGAUUUUCUUGUCUUGGCUGUGUCUGAUAUGGAAGGUGACUCACAAUCCUUCAGUAUGCAAUGAGCUACACAGCUGGACAAGGAAAAGAGUAGACGUUAUAGAAAGCGGAAGUACUUUGAAUUCAUAGUGCCGCUUUUAAAUCAAUAUGCCUGGCCUUUGUAAAUACGGACAGAACGAGAGGGGAGCACUGUGAAUGCAAUGUGCCAGUGCAUAUGGCAUCUUCCUUAUAUAAAGUGACAGGAGACACCGACGUAAACAGCUGCCACUACUAGGCUCUAGUAGCCUAACAAAGAAUCUGUGUCCACUCUACGUCAGGUGGAUUACCAGGUGGAUUCAUUGAGCUAACCGGUCCUUUUCCUUAUGUUUCGCUGCAGGAGAACUUUACCCUGGAAAUAAUUCAGGGUGGAAACAAUGUGUGCUACAAUGUCUGAAUUUCUGAAAGGAGUGAUGUGCACUCUAGUGAGGAGAAAUAUAAGGAAGAAGGAGGAUCUGAACGUUACACAAUCCAGUGAGGCAAUGGAUUAUAAGGAAGAAGGCGAGGUUGUCUUUAAAUACAGGAGGAUCCGAAUGUUGUAAUGUCCAGUGAGCCAAUGGAUUAUGAGGAUCAAGGACAUGCACAGAGCGUAUAAUAUCGCCAUUAAGAUAGCAAGUCAAUUACACUAGUAAUAACUAGAAAUGUAGCUAUGUAUGGAUUUUUCUGUAUGGAUGUGUAGCCUACAUUACCUAAGUAAUAAACAGAAGACUUUGAAUUCUGUCAGUAAGAUAUUCAGUUUGAAACACAUGAGUUGUUGAUGAGAACAAUGUGAAAAAUAUUUUUUACAAAGGGGACAAAUGUUGACAUUACAUGAUUUAAGAGUUUCUUUGUGCAGUGAUGCAUCAUGUAGCAGAUUAUCAAAAAAGUGGGAAGCUUUUAAAAAUGCUUACAUCUAUACUCACAGCUGUAUAGCUUAUUUAAAAUGCUUAUUGUGUUACUUUCUACAGCUACUGUCUAUUACAUACUGUAGUUUUUCUACACUCACUGAAAAUAAUCAUGUAAAUAAAAUCAAUCAAAAGUUGGUAUUACUCAAAUUCGCAAUUUAAGAGCUGCUGCUUUUACUUAAGGUAACUUCUAAACACUUCAAUUAAUUCAAUUAAUUAAAACAAGUAAAAACAAAUUACUGCCAAUUAAUUUCAGAUUUGUAAUACUUUACUAAUGAGGUUGUCCUACUCUAAGCCCCAUUUUACUAAUGUGCAGGGUCAGGGGUAGCUCAGUGGUUAAGGUACUUGAUUUGUAAUUGGAAGGUUGCUUGAUCAAGCCCCACCACUGCCAAA
Long non-coding RNA from Electrophorus electricus (electric eel), 1566 nucleotides. RefSeq lists it as uncharacterized. The record is from RefSeq and is a predicted model, not a curated record. NCBI's taxonomy places the organism in Eukaryota, Metazoa, Chordata, Actinopteri, Gymnotiformes, Gymnotidae.